This 978-nucleotide ribosomal RNA is filed under the name Triticum aestivum (bread wheat). RNAcentral's name for it is "partial small subunit ribosomal RNA". The record is from RNAcentral. Lineage: Eukaryota; Viridiplantae; Streptophyta; Magnoliopsida; Poales; Poaceae.
AUGACUUCUACUCCAGUCUUGGUAUUACCUGAUUUCAACAAACCUUUCUGUAUAGAAACAGAUGCCUGUGACUCCGGUAUUGGAGCAGUUCUUACACAGGAAGGACACCCUGUGGCUUACUACAGCAAGUCUCUAGGGCCAACCAAUCAGAAAUUGAGCAUUUAUGAGAAAGAAUUUCUAGCUAUUAUCAUGGCCAUUGAGAGGUGGAGAUGCUACGUUUGCAGGGGGCCGUUCGUGAUCAAAACCGACCACAAGAGCUUAUGUCACUUGGAAAACCAAGCCCUUACUUCAGAGCUACAGAAAAAGGCUAUGACAAAACUAAUCGGGCUCCAAUUCCAGUUCCAGUACAAAAAAGGCGAGGACAACAAGGCCGCUGAUGCUCUAUCUAGAGUGGGCCAUGUGUUUGCCUUACCUGCAGUCUCCUCAGGACAGCCUGUCUGGAUCCAGGAAAUACUUAACUCUUAUGAGAUUGAUUGCAAGGCUCAACACCUCCUACAGAAACUGGUGGUUAACCCUGAUGAAGAACCUGAGUUUUCUUUGGAAAAGGGUCUGCUCAAACACCAGGGCAGAAUUUGGGUUGGGGCCAAUGCAGGUUUGCAAACAAAAAUUAUUGAAGCACUCCACUCUUCUCCUGUGGGAGGCCACUCUGGCAGUCAGGCCACUUAUGAGAGAGUGAAGAAAUUAUUCCACUGGUAUGGCUUAAAGGAAGCAGUGGCAAAUUUUGUGCAACAGUGCCAGGUUUGCCAACAAGCCAAACAUGAACAUUGCAAGUAUCCUGGUUUGCUUUGUCCAUUGCCUAUUCCCAAAGGACCCUGGGAAGAUAUAUCCAUGGACUUCAUCGAAGGAUUACCCAAAUCAUCUGGAUAUUCAGUGAUCCUGGUAGUUGUGGACAGGUAUACAAAAUAUAGCCAUUUCAUUGCUCUCAAACACCCCUUCACUGCUGCUCAGAUAGCACAAAUUUCUGCUCCACGUUGUUAA